Molecule: long non-coding RNA, 222 nt
Filed under: Dasypus novemcinctus (nine-banded armadillo)
Lineage: Eukaryota; Metazoa; Chordata; Mammalia; Cingulata; Dasypodidae
Description: lncRNA (ENSDNOG00000051667.1)
Source: RNAcentral
AUGUCCAAGCUGAAAGCUAUCUGGUGUACAAUAUUAUGUGCAAUGGAGAGAUUGAGUGCAGCAACACCUUGGAAGAUGAGCUCGAUCAAGCUCUACCGAGCCAGGCCUUCAUUUACCGUCCUGUUCGACAGCGUGUUUACUCACUCAUUUUGGGAGAAUGUAGAGGUGGUGUUAGCUCCUCCACAGUGAAGGAGUGGUUUGUGUACUCUGGGAACCCGCUGA